This 497-nucleotide ribosomal RNA is filed under the name uncultured bacterium. Its description in RNAcentral is "partial 16S ribosomal RNA". It matches the Rfam family "Bacterial small subunit ribosomal RNA", at positions 28 to 507 of the family's 1533-position model. The record is from RNAcentral.
GAUGAACGCUGGCGGUGUGCCUAAUACAUGCAAGUCGAGCGAACGGACGAGAAGCUUGCUUCUCUGAUGUUAGCGGCGGACGGGUGAGUAACACGUGGAUAACCUACCUAUAAGACUGGGAUAACUUCGGGAAACCGGAGCUAAUACCGGAUAAUAUUUUGAACCGCAUGGUUCAAAAGUGAAAGACGGUCUUGCUGUCACUUAUAGAUGGAUCCGCGCUGCAUUAGCUAGUUGGUAAGGUAACGGCUUACCAAGGCAACGAUGCAUAGCCGACCUGAGAGGGUGAUCGGCCACACUGGAACUGAGACACGGUCCAGACUCCUACGGGAGGCAGCAGUAGGGAAUCUUCCGCAAUGGGCGAAAGCCUGACGGAGCAACGCCGCGUGAGUGAUGAAGGUCUUCGGGUCGUAAAACUCUGUUAUUAGGGAAGAACAUAUGUGUAAGUAACUGUGCACAUCUUGACGGUACCUAAUCAGAAAGCCACGGCUAACUACGUG